Molecule: transfer RNA, 65 nt
Filed under: Karsenia koreana (Korean crevice salamander)
Lineage: Eukaryota; Metazoa; Chordata; Amphibia; Caudata; Plethodontidae
Description: tRNA-Ser
Source: RNAcentral
GAGAAGAGUAAGAAACACAGAGACUGCUAAUUAUCUGACCCGAGGUUAAAUUCCACGAUCUACUC